Molecule: ribosomal RNA, 376 nt
Filed under: uncultured organism
Description: partial 16S ribosomal RNA
Rfam family: Bacterial small subunit ribosomal RNA
Source: RNAcentral
GUAGGUGGCAAGCGUUGUCCGGAAUUAUUGGGCGUAAAGCGCGCGCAGGCGGUUCUUUAAGUCUGAUGUGAAAGCCCACGGCUCAACCGUGGAGGGUCAUUGGAAACUGGAGAACUUGAGUACAGAAGAGGAAAGCGGAAUUCCACGUGUAGCGGUGAAAUGCGUAGAGAUGUGGAGGAACACCAGUGGCGAAGGCGGCUUUCUGGUCUGUAACUGACGCUGAGGCGCGAAAGCGUGGGGAGCAAACAGGAUUAGAUACCCUGGUAGUCCACGCCGUAAACGAUGAGUGCUAAGUGUUAGGGGGGUUUUCCGGCCCCCCUUAGUGCUGCAGCUAACGCAUUAAGCACUCCGCCCUGGGAGUACGGCCGCAAGGCUG